AAAAAGCAAUCGACUUACAAGGGUGUGAAAAAAGGGGCUCGAUAUUAAAUCGAGAAAAUAUGAUUUUUUAUAAGUUAAAAAAAUGGGUUCAAAUGCAUGAUGCAAUUAAAAGAAAAAAAAACAAAUCUAUAUUAUUAAACAAUAAUAAAAAAAGGAAAUAUAAAUAAUAAAGCAUAAAUAUGAAAGAAAAUAUUAAAAGAAAGAAAAACUACGCCUAGGAGUAUCGAACCCACUAAAACUAAAGAUCUAGAAGCCACUUCCCUCCACCAGACCACUUACUAACUAACUAAUAUUUAAUGCUAACUUAAAUGUAUUAAACUAAGAUAAUUAAAAAAGAAAUAAAAAUAAAACUAAAUAAUAAAAAAACUGUUGGUCUGCUAGUAACUGAACCCAGCCGCUUGGCUGUUGGGUUGUCAAUGGGGAAUGUGUAUUGGAAAGGAGGAAAUAAAUUGAAAAUAUAAACAACAUUUAACUAAAUACCUAGGAAAAUUAAAAUGAAUUUUAAUAGUUUUUUUAAAAAAAGACUUAUUCUGAAAUACAAUAAAUAAAAGAAAAAAUAAAUAAACACCUCACUCGAAUUAAAAAAAAUGAAAAACAAGAGGAGACAGACUUCAUCGUCCUCGUCUAGCUCUCUCGCUCCCUUCUCUCGCUCAAUCCUCAUCAUCUCUC
RNAcentral lists this long non-coding RNA (669 nucleotides) under Lathyrus oleraceus (garden pea). Its description in RNAcentral is "Pisum sativum (pea) long non-coding RNA (PSAT_LNC037187)". Lineage: Eukaryota; Viridiplantae; Streptophyta; Magnoliopsida; Fabales; Fabaceae. The record is from RNAcentral.